Mus musculus (house mouse) is the source of this 704-nucleotide long non-coding RNA. RefSeq annotates it as predicted gene, 35299. The transcript has 3 exons. The record is from RefSeq and is a predicted model, not a curated record. Lineage: Eukaryota; Metazoa; Chordata; Mammalia; Rodentia; Muridae.
AGAAGGAAAGAGAGAGGCCUGUCUGACCUUGGGUACACACCUAGCAAAAGGCAUAAGAUUCACCUACAUCAGUCAAAGUCCUCCCUUGAGGAUCACCAUGUGGAAGCUCUGGGGAUUUCACAACCAGCGCAGUGAACUCCAGAUGAACUCGGAUGAUCCUUUUUUUUCCUAAUCCAGCAGCCAGGAGACAGUGAAGGGGCACUGCUGUGGGCAUGAGUACAAAGUUCUCUUCCACAGGCUGUUGUUACCACUCUGACGAACUGACACAGGUGGUAAGUCAGAAGACAAGGGAGCCGAUUCUCUGCUUCUACCUUGUGGGUCUUAUGGAGCGAACUCAGAUCAUCAGACUUGGCAGCAAGCACCUUUACCCAGUGAGCCAUCCUGCUGACCUUUCGUCAGAUGACCUUGUGAUAAGCUGGAGGAGCGUUAUCACCACUGGUCAGGAGCAUGGAGAACCUAACGAUGCCUUCCUCUGUUUUCCUUGGCAUUUGUCAGCAAUGCUUGGUGCAACACUGAAGUCUGCUCUGCCAGCCUGGCUUAUAAAAUUAAGACAAUGAAAUCACAACGAGCCUUAGUAACCACGCCUUCACAAACAGGUGCCAUGUUAUUGCAGCACAUCCUAGCUUCUCUGGACUGCACCGCCAGCUUUCUCACAAUUUAAAAUGAGUUGUAUAAUUUGCCGAAUUUCCAACACUCAAUAGCUU